UGGGAUGUAGUUGAAAUUGGUAUAAUAGAGGUGUUGCAUAUCUAAGUUAAGGGUUCAAGUCCCUUCAUCUCCA
RNAcentral lists this transfer RNA (73 nucleotides) under Heterostelium pallidum. Its description in RNAcentral is "tRNA-Ala". It matches the Rfam family "tRNA". Rfam says of the family: Transfer RNA (tRNA) molecules are approximately 80 nucleotides in length. Their secondary structure includes four short double-helical elements and three loops (D, anti-codon, and T loops). Further hydrogen bonds mediate the characteristic L-shaped molecular structure. tRNAs have two regions of fundamental functional importance: the anti-codon, which is responsible for specific mRNA codon recognition, and the 3' end, to which the tRNAs corresponding amino acid is attached (by aminoacyl-tRNA synthetases). tRNAs cope with the degeneracy of the genetic code in two manners: having more than one tRNA (with a specific anti-codon) for a particular amino acid; and 'wobble' base-pairing, i.e. permitting non-standard base-pairing at the 3rd anti-codon position. Lineage: Eukaryota; Evosea; Eumycetozoa; Acytosteliales; Acytosteliaceae. The record is from RNAcentral.